GAAAACCACACAUCGUAUGUUCUCACUUUUAAGUAGAAGCUGAGCCAUGGGUAUGCAAGGGCUUCUGAGUGGUAUAAUGGACACUGGAGACUCAGAAGUGGGGAAGGUGGCUGGGGGUGAGGGAUAAAAAACUACAAAAUGGGCACAAUUGACACUGUUCGCGUAAUGGGUGCACUAAAAUCCCAGACUUCAUUAUACGGUUCAUCCACGUAACCAAAAACCACUUCCACAUCUAAAGCGAUUGGAAUAGAGAAAAGAAAUAAGGGCUUCCUUUUUAAAGGAGAGAAAGGUGGAUUCUGUGCAUGGCUGUGCCUCGGUUUCGUCCUGCAUGCACACUAGCAGCAGUGGCUGGCCUCAGGAGAACAUGGAUGGUGACUCAUCACAUGGAGUGACUUACGGUCCGGGAAGAGUACAUCUGCAACUGAGAUGGUGAGUCAUAAACAACGGAGAGCCAGUGAAGCUCUGCGAGAGAGGAAAGCCAGGGAAACCUGUGGGAGCAGAGAGCCAGGGUGGACAGAUGAGUUCCCAGAAGGGUAGAGCUGGGGGUCAUCUGACUUAUCUUCCUCAGAAGGGUGAUACUUUUUUAAAUCUGUCCCAUGGAAAAUUGUACGAGUAUGAGUGGAAAGCUGCAAGGUGACCGGAUAGCACAGGGCUCAGGGAGCCACAGCCCAGCUUCAACCAAGAAUGCAUGAUUCUUGUAUGUGGCGAGGGCUUCCCCCACCCUCCGCAGCACCCUGGUUCCUUCACUUCAUCUAGUGAGAAACAAGAGCAGCCCUGUUGCAAGGAAUGUGCCUGGGGGCCCAUCAGUGCUCUGGGCUGCCUGACAUGAGGCCCUUGGGUCUCUGUGCCUCAGUGUCCUCGAGUUCCAGUUGAGAUGGGUGCCCAUGGCUAUGGAUUGUUGAUAUCCUUCUGGCUCUGAAAUUUGGAUAGUUUCUUCUCCAAAGAACUAAGUGUUACUGGAGGCUCUUGAAAGAAAUCUGCAGCGGCCUGGGAUGUUACACAUCCAGCCCCAGAUUACCCCAAGGAUGGGCUUGAACCUCACCCCAUAUCCAGCGUGAAAUGACCUGCAGGCGUGUCUCGGGGUCUGGAUAUCAAGGCAUCCAGUGACUAUGGAGCAGGAACGAGGCCUUCAAGUCCUGAUGGCGAAUGGCCACUUCUGCACAUCCCCUAAAAACCUUAUCUUCUAAAGACCUUCAACACAUUAAAAAUUCUGUGAACUUUACUAUUUCUAAAAAUAUCCUACCAGCUCCACCACUAAAUAUAACGUCUCUUCCAACGAUGAGUCAAAUGCAUUUUGCAUCAAUGGCUCUGCAUACUUGAGAAACGGAGUUGUUUGUGGUGAAGAUAUUUUUCCAUGGUGCUGCUCCAACAGAGGUCAUUUCUAAGAAAUUUCUAAUUUCCCUGGAGAAAAAUGAAUGCUUCAAAGUCAAAGAAGAAGGAUUUUUUACUCCAGAGCAACUUCUAAAUCUUUUUCAAAACUGGCUUUUUGCUUUUGAGAUCAAACUUUGCUCUGUCCAGUUUCAAAUAUCUUCCUUUUUUUCUGUCUCUACUCCAGCUUUUUUAACUGAUGCAAACUUUGAGUAUCAGGGUAAACCACUAACCUCAUACUUAUCCUUUUAAAACACUUCUUAGUCCUGUUAUUUCCAUUUCUUCAUAUCCAACCAAUGACAGUAUAUGUUUUCUCAAAAUAAGUCUGUCCUCAAACCCACAAACACAUACCUAAAUUUAUUAUCAUUAUUACUGAUUUCCUACUUGCACUGCUAAAUGUUUCUUGGUGCCUGUGAGGGCUGUGGUGCAGACGCUCCCCUCCCUGGGAGGACAGUAGCCUGUUAAAUGUUAGAUGUGAGACUUCUCUCAUCUGUAUCCAGUAUGUCAGGAUGAAAUAACUUUGGGGUUACAAUAUUUGGGGAAUCUAAAGAUAGUUAUUACUGCUGUUUAGAUCAAAAUUUGAAAUGCCAUGGAAAGUACUAAUGAGUCCUAGUACAAGGAGAAAUGAAAUAAAGUUAUUUAAUUUUCAAAUGAUUAUUUAAUAAUUUAGUUCCCAGCUGGUCGACUAACCAGGACCAAUGGGACCUCAAACCCAUUUUACAGGCAGCUGGGGGCAUUAAUUAUAAAUGAAAAAAAAAGAAAAAAAAUGAGUGUAUGAGUGUAUUACCCUUUCUCCCACCAUUUUUGCAAUAAGAUAGUGUCUAGAAGGGGGCUACAAGUGAAUGCAACAUAAACUAAAGUGACUUUUCCUUUAAAAACUCAGUGGUUCUUCCAGGGCUGUUGGUUUAUUCCUCUCUCACCAUGAUUUUAAUGCUAACUUCAUCCUCCAUUCCAUACACCCCAAGUUAACUAAAGGGAAAAACGGUCCACAAAACAAACAGAUUCUAGGAAAAUCUGUGUGACAGCAUCUGUGCGUGUGAGCAGCCCUGGGGUGUGUCCACUCCUCUGGGAUCCCAUAUGGUUUUCCCUUUUAGAAUUGUUGAGAUAAGGAUCUGGCUUUACUGGGGUUUCGUGUUCCCGUCUUUAGAAAGAAGUCAGAUCCUACUCUUUCCAAUAUUCUGUGCUCUUUUGAGUCCAAGUGCAAUCACACAUUUAAAGCUGUUUUUCUUUCGCUUCUCCACUUGAAAAUAUGUGUCCCUGAAUCACUCUGUGGUCUUUUUCUUUCUUGUUCCUUAGGUGUGCUGACUUUCUGAAUUUGCAAGUGUAUCAUCAGGACAGGCAGAAACAUGCUGGCAUCCCCUUGGUCAGACAAGAAAAUCUCAGCAGAGGCCCGAAGAAUGAGUUCAAAUGCUGGUGAAUUCAAAACGCAGAGAGCCCAGCAGACGCCAUCACUAUGGAUCUUGUAUUUGAAUCCGAUGUAGCUGGAUUCCCGGGGCCACGUAAAUUAGGCGUGGAGCCUGUGUUAGAGAGUGAGGGUUUCCUUAGCGUCGUUGGCAUCAUUCAUGUAUAGCCAAGGUUCCACUUCUUAGCUUCUCCUUCAAGAAAGCCAACGAAGCAGGCAUUUGGGAAAGUCAGCACUCGUUCAAGAGUUCGUUGGCUUUCAGUUGUGAUGAUGUUUUAAGGUCAUAUUUUUCCAAGUAGGAUUGUUUGAGAAUGAGGGCUCUGGUUUCAUUCAGAGAUAAUGGCAAUAGGCUUCUCUCACUUCAAACACCUGACUUGCCACACACUUGUUUGACUGCUGCCCUUAUCCAGAGAAUUCUCAUCAAGAUGGGCAUGUGGGCCGGGAUGCUGCUGUACCCCAGGAUUCACACUGGCCUCGCGGCCGUGCAGAAAAGCAAGACAGUGGAUCUGAGCUCCAUCCCCGCAGUCUGCACUGGCCCCUUCAUGGCACAGCGACAGCUUUGCCAUCAGCCGGCAAGCAUGCGGGGUGUGGACGACACAGCCGGAGAGAGCAGAGGCCAGGCUCAUGAAUCGGACAACGAGCUCGAGUUUUCAAGGUGUGACUCAAAGAUCCAUCAACACUUCCUUAGUCAUCUGCUAUUAGGUAUUAGUGAUAUAGUCCAUUGGAUUCAGCCUUAGUCAUCUGCUAUUAUCUGCUAUUAUGUAUUAGUGAUAUAGUCCAUUGGAUUCAGCCUUAGUCAUCUGCUAUUAUCUGCUAUUAUGUAUUAGUGAUAUAGUCCAUUGGAUUCAGCCUUAGUCAUCUGCUAUUAUCUGCUAUUAGGUGUUAGUGAUACAGUCCAUUGGAUUCAGCUUUAGUCACCUGCUAUUAGGUAUUAGUGAUAUAGUCCAUUGGAUUGAGUUAAUGCUCAGACUCUGUGAAAAUAGUCAAAUUCUUUUACUUUCUCAACUAGAUUUGAUGCAUUUUUCGAAUAUUUACGUGUCGUGUUAACAUGACCCUAAUUCAAUUAGCUUGCCAGUAAAUUUUACUGCUUGGGGAUGAGAUCUACAAAGGCAUUACACAGGGACAUGAAGCUCCCUGCUGCCAAAACGUUGGCGCUCUUCAGCGGUUAAAACGUUCUUCCUUCUGCUGAGUGAUGAUCCGCUUCCAUGGAGUUUCCAUCGCUGGCUCCUAGAGCUUUCCUUUGGUGAUUGAAAGCAUCAGUCUGCCUCCUCUCCUGUCUGGCAUCCCUUCAAAUAUUUGAAAAGGGUGACUAAGUUCCCUCUAAGCCUGUUCAUUCUCAUCCGGGUCAUCCUCCUGCCCUCUCUUGUUAGUUGUACAGAGAAGUUUCUAGACCCUUCACCGCUGUGGCUAAUUCCCGAGAAGAGGAGGUGGGCUACUCCGGUCUUGAGAGUUAUGACUGGACACCUGAGAUGCACAGGAUAUAAGGCUUCAUGCAACUGGAAAGAAAUUUCUGCACAUAACAAGUUUAUACUCGUCCAUGUACAAGGCCCCGAGUCAAACACAGUCAUCUGAAAUUGUCAAGUGGGAGAAAACAGCUACAGAUUUCUAUUUUUUCUCAUGCCUAGUCACAGCAUUGAGUCUUGUUUGAGGCAACAUCACUCUUAUCGUUUUUAAAAAAUAUCUUACUACAGCCCUCUCCCUGUUGCUUGAACUCAUACAGAAGAGAAGGCAGUUGUCCCUCCUGCUGUAUAAAUUAUAACUGCCGUCUCUCCUUUCUUUCCACACAUUGCUGCACCCAGAGUGCUGCCACCAACACUUAACUGUAUCUUUAUAGUCAAGGAGGAAUCUGCCUUCCAGAGACAGAAAUAGUGUGUGCACAUGUGUGUGAAUGUGUAUCCAUGCACAUGUGUGCACAUCUGUAUGUAUGUGCACGUGUAUACACUCAAGUUGUGCAUGUAUGCUGUACAUGUGUAUUCAGGGAUGUGUGUGCAUGUGUGUGCAUGCAUGUGUGUGCAUGGUAUGUGGGCAUCUCUUCGCAUGUGCACCUAUGUGUGCAUUUAUGUUGUGCAUGCAUGUUAUGCAUGCGUGUGCAUGGAUGUCAGUGCAUAUGUGCAUACAUGCAUGUGCGUGUGUGUGGAUUUGGAUGUACGCAACUUAUGCAUUUUUUCUAAGGCUAUUUAUUUUUUCAUUUGGGCAAUUUUUUUUUUCUCAGAUGUCGUCAGGUCCAUCACAGCUCAGCAUUAUGAAAUAAUAAAAUAACCAAAUCCUUUCCCAA
This is a long non-coding RNA of Homo sapiens (human), 5045 nucleotides long. RefSeq lists it as uncharacterized. The record is from RefSeq and is a predicted model, not a curated record. The transcript is spliced from 2 exons. NCBI's taxonomy places the organism in Eukaryota, Metazoa, Chordata, Mammalia, Primates, Hominidae.